UCAGCUGUAGCUCAGUGGUAGAACGUCCCACCGGUAUGCGUAAGGUCAUAGGUUCGACUUCUGUUGGCGGAA
This is a non-coding RNA of Desmophyllum pertusum, 72 nucleotides long. The record is from the annotation of a GenBank genome assembly. NCBI's taxonomy places the organism in Eukaryota, Metazoa, Cnidaria, Anthozoa, Scleractinia, Caryophylliidae.